This 769-nucleotide ribosomal RNA is filed under the name uncultured bacterium. RNAcentral describes it as "bacterial SSU rRNA". It matches the Rfam family "Bacterial small subunit ribosomal RNA", at positions 8 to 796 of the family's 1533-position model. The record is from RNAcentral.
AGAGUUUGAUCCUGGCUCAGGACGAACGCUGGCGGCGUGCUUAACACAUGCAAGUCGAACGAUGAAGCCUUCGGGUGGAUUAGUGGCGAACGGGUGAGUAACACGUGGGUGAUCUGCCUCGUACUUCGGGAUAAGCUUGGGAAACUGGGUCUAAUACCGGAUAUGACCAGGGGCUGCAUGGUUUCUGGUGGAAAGAUUUAUCGGUGCGAGAUGAGCCCGCGGCCUAUCAGCUUGUUGGUGGGGUAAUGGCCUACCAAGGCGACGACGGGUAGCCGGCCUGAGAGGGCGAUCGGCCACACUGGGACUGAGACACGGCCCAGACUCCUACGGGAGGCAGCAGUGGGGAAUAUUGCACAAUGGGCGCAAGCCUGAUGCAGCGACGCCGCGUGAGGGAUGACGGCCUUCGGGUUGUAAACCUCUUUCGGCAGGGACGAAGCGUGAGUGACGGUACCUGCAGAAGAAGCACCGGCCAACUACGUGCCAGCAGCCGCGGUAAUACGUAGGGUGCGAGCGUUGUCCGGAAUUACUGGGCGUAAAGAGCUUGUAGGCGGUUCGUCGCGUCGCUCGUGAAAACUGGCAGCUCAACUGUCAGCUUGCGGGCGAUACGGGCGGACUAGAGUACUGCAGGGGAGACCGGAAUUCCUGGUGUAGCGGUGAAAUGCGCAGAUAUCAGGAGGAACACCGGUGGCGAAGGCGGGUCUCUGGGCAGUAACUGACGCUGAGAAGCGAAAGCGUGGGUAGCGAACAGGAUUAGAUACCCCGGUAGUCC